Lolium rigidum is the source of this 1505-nucleotide long non-coding RNA. RefSeq lists it as uncharacterized. Lineage: Eukaryota; Viridiplantae; Streptophyta; Magnoliopsida; Poales; Poaceae. The transcript is spliced from 4 exons. The record is from RefSeq and is a predicted model, not a curated record.
CGCAGUUGAUGGAGCCGCGAAUGGUGAAGGUGGUCAGGUGGAGACGGUGUGUACAGCCAUGUCGGGUUGAUUGAGCUGGAUCCCUUUGUGGCAGGCAUCGUCGAAGCAGUAGCAGGUGCCGGCGAGGGAGAAGGUGACGGCAGUCUGAUUCCGCGCAGUGCACCGUAAAUAUGAAUCAAACAUCGAAGGGCUGGACCAAGAGAUGUUUACCUCCACGCAAACUGUCUCACGAUUCUAGCAAACAUGGGCCUUCAUGCCCAUAGGCUGAGCGUGUAUGCAUCUCAAAGGCUGGUUAGCCUCUUCGACAUGCUUUCUCGCAAGUAUGCCAAAUUAACUGAGUUAAAAAAUUACAAGGCUCUCAAAGUUAUAUCUGAUCAAAUUGAAAACAGGCAUCGUCUCAGAUGAUAUGGUACUCUACAGUUAUCUUACAUCGUAAUAGCACCAUUGUUUAUGAUCUCAUUUGUAUAGUUUAAACAGUGGUUUACUUUUGUAGUCAACAGAGCUUCACAUAUACACUGACUUCUUGAGAAUCGUUCUGGAAAUCAUGAAUGCAAUCCUUACAUAUGCAUUGCACAGAAAUCCCAAGGUAUGUUAGUUACCAAUGCAGUUUACUGGAUAGGCAGAACCAAAACUGCUUCUAACAUGUUCAUGAUCAGGGUUGUGUAUGCCAUAUUGCACCACCAAGAGAUUUUUGAGCCCUUUAAGAACCAUCCCAAUUGCUUGAGAAUAUUUACACGGAAUGUCUUAUUGUACAACACUUCAUAAUCUUCUGUUCUCCAGAUUCUGACCAUAUUCCAUCUUCCUGACUCUGUCUGUUAGGUGUUGUAUUUCUUCAACGGUCGAAUAGACAUGCAACAAUUAGAUGGGGAAUGGUCUGUGGACAAGGUUCUUGAGCUCAUUAACAAACAUUUCCGUUCAUGGCGUGGAGAAGAAAUGAAGGUGAAAAACAUAUUGUGACAUUGUUGGAAUUUUCCAUAAUCAACUUAUGGUAAAUUAUCUCUACACCUAAAAGUUGUUCUGGUAUUUUAUCAUUCGCUGCCAUAACAAUACAUCAUUACACAAUUUCUAGAUGUUUACACAAUUAUGAUUUACAUAUGACAAUAUGAGCAAGAAAGUCACCCGGGGGAAUUCUUCACUUUCCAUAUGCUUGGCAGCUUAUCCUAUCACGAGGGCUGUCAGGUUGCUGAUGACGUUGACCAUAAAUCGGCAGCGAUGUGAAUAUGGGGGAGAGGAGAAGUGGUUUGGGAUGUGCGCCUGCUCACCCUGGGAUUGAAGAUGUCAAGGAGGUGUAGGGAUGCUUGGAGUUUGCCAGAAUUUUCUGUUUCGUCGGUGGCCGAAGGGUACAAAGUCAAGCUUGCAUUCGUCGAUCUGUUGCUUCCCAGCACAAUCUAGAGGGUGGUGAGGUGGAGGACAGCGCUAGGAUCGGCCGGCGAAGGAGCUCGGGUGCUCCGGCGGCGUGGUUGACGAGGAAGAGGUGGCGGAGGACGAGCUCCUAUCGGGGAUGG